RNAcentral lists this small nuclear RNA (224 nucleotides) under Pteropus alecto (black flying fox). RNAcentral describes it as "U2 spliceosomal RNA". It matches the Rfam family "U2 spliceosomal RNA". From Rfam's summary of the family: U2 is a small nuclear RNA (snRNA) component of the spliceosome (involved in pre-mRNA splicing). Lineage: Eukaryota; Metazoa; Chordata; Mammalia; Chiroptera; Pteropodidae. The record is from Rfam by way of RNAcentral.
AUCGCUGCUUGGCCUUUUGGCUAAGAUCAAGUGUAGAACCCUUGCUCAGAGAGAAACUCCCUCCUCCCACAAUGACUUAUCCCUCAGAUAUAAUUACUAUUGUCCACCUGUGGGGACAUUCUCUCCUCAAAAAUUAUUUUUUAUUGCAUCCACUGGCAUAUUUUUAAAUACAGAUAGAAUGAAACCAUAGGUACUGCUUUCCAGUCUGCUUGUUUUCACUCUGC